CGCAAACGCCCCACGCGCUAACCACCGCGGCGCCCCAAUCUCCGGCGACCUGCUCCCAUCCGCAGAUCCGCCCGUCUGAACUCCUCAUCCAUGGAUCGCCACACCAUCAACCACAGCGGCGAGGACCGCCACCGCAGCGACGGACAUCACCACCACCACAAGGCUCGGGAUUCCGUGGGGCGCCGCGAUUCGGCCGGCUGCGAGCCGCUGCCGCCGCCGCCGCUGUCACGGAAACGGAAGGACCACGACAGCGGCGAGCCCGGCCGUGAAGGGGGCAAGCGGCCUAGGGCCUUGGUGGAUCCGCCUCCGCGCAAGGAGGAAAGGCCACGGCGAGAGCGCAAGAAGCUAGAGUCAGGUGCUAAUGGAGAUCCACAGCGCGGCGCGGCGCCUAAUGGUGGUGCUCAGCCGCCGCUCAAUUCUGCACCUGCUGCUGCGGUGCCAUCUGCUUAUCCUGUUCCUUCAAAGAUGGAACUGCAAAUUCAUCCGCUGGCAGAAGUGGCAGCUUAAGUCUUGAUGCUUUAGCGAAAGCUAAAAAGGCUUUGCAACUGAAGAAGGAAUUAUCAGGAAAACUCAAGAGAUUACCUGCGUGGACUGAAUGUUCCUCAAAGACCUGCCAAGGCCCCUGUUCUCUGUCUUGAUGCUCAAGGUAGAGAAAUCGAUGAGCAUGGAAAUGUUAUCAGCAUGACCAAGCCAAGCAACCUGAGUACUCUGAAGGUCAACAUUAACAAGCAGAAGAAGGAUGCAUUCCAGAUUAUCAAACCAGGCUUGGAGUCGCUUGCAAAAUCUACCGUUCAUUUUGAUGAAAGGAUGGGCAUCAAUCCAACCAAGCUCCUUCGUCCUAAAAGGCCAGGAUUCCAGUUUAUUGAGGAAGGCAAACUUUCGAGGCAGGCUGAAUUGCAGAGGAUUAAGAAUCAAUUUGGUGAAGCACAAGCUAAAGAGCUUAAAGUAAAGCAAGCUCAUCUUGCCGAGGCAAAGGUCGAAGCUGACAUGAAUCCAAAGCUAAUUGAAAUUGCUCCUGGUGGAAGGCCUCCAAAGCAGAAGCAGAAGGAAGAGAUUCCUGAUAUUGAGCCAUGGGACUCAAAAAUCCUGAUAUCUGCCACGUACGAGGACAUCUCCUUGGAAAAGCUUAAUAUGGAUAAGAUCACCAUCUACGUGCAACAUCCAGAGCCAUUGGAACCACCGGCUAAGCCCAUGACACCACCGCCUCAGCCACUUAAGCUUACUAACAAUGAGCAGAAGAAGUAUAGAACACAGAGGCGCCUCGCUACGGAAAAAGAUAGGCAAGAAAUGAUUAGGCAAGGCCUCUUGGAGCCACCAGAUCCCAAGGUCAAGAUGAGCAACCUUAUGAAAGUACUUGGUGCACAAGCUACACAGGACCCGACACGCAUGGAGAUGGAAAUACGAGCGGCUGCUGCAGAGCGCGAGCAGGCUCACGUCGACCGCAACACUGCCCGCAAACUCACGCCAUCUGAGCGCCGCAAGAAGAAGGAGAGGAAGCUUUUUGGUGAUCCUAACGACACAUUAGACUGUACUGUUUGUGUGUACAGAAUCAGAGACCUGUCACACCGUCGCUUUAAAGUGGACGUCAAUGCCCGAGAUAACCGGCUGACUGGCGCUGCGGUGAUCACAGAUGGUGUAAGUGUUGUGGUUGUGGAAGGACGGAAGCAAUCGAUCAAGAGGUACAAUCAGCUCAUGAUGAACCGGAUUGACUGGGCUGCUGCUGCAGUUGGUGGCAAGGAUAACGCCGCUGAUGAACCAGACAGGCAGGUGAAUAGCUGCGCAUUAGUAUGGCGAGGUAGUGUGGUGAAGCCCGCCUUUCCCAGGUGGUUCGGUGUGCGUAAGUGCCUGAGUGAGGCUGCUGCCAAGAAACUGUUUGUAGAUGCUAAAGUUGCACACUACUGGGACCUGGCUGUCAACUUCUCGGAAGAUUCGUCUUGUUGAGCUCAAAUUGGUGUUCAAGACAAUGAGAGCGAUUGCUGUGGAUCACUCUACUUUGCUAUUCAUUCAAUCGUAUCAUCGUCAGACUGUUGAUCAACUGAACGCAUGAAAGAGCUGUUGGAUUUUCGCAAUAUGCUUUUAAAUAAAUCUGCUAAGCCUUCUCAAUCUGAGAGGAGAGGUUCAGGACCAUUGUCCACCCAACCCAUGGUCGGUGCCGUUUGAUCAUCUAGUACUGGUUCCCAUGUGGGUCUGUGCCUAGUUAGUAUUCAAUUUUCUUGGUUUAGCUUAAUCCUCCUCUUCGUUAGCUUGCUCGUAGGGCUGCACCAUCUGGCCCUCUCUGAAAAGGAUGAACUGGCACUCUUCCCUAUGUUACUAUAGAUUAUGAAGCACAGCCCAAAGAAUUUAAAAAACAUUCUGCUCAAACCUGUCAUAGUACUGUUUAUCACUCUGGUUAUUUCCCAUGAGUUCGGCUGGCUCAGUAUUUGUUUUGUGUACACUAGGUAAAUUAUUUGUACUGAGUAGAACAAAACAUGGGUAAAAAGAACCUUUCAUACAGUUAAUUCUGCUGGUAAGAUUUAAUCGUUUUU
This 2525-nucleotide ribosomal RNA is filed under the name Triticum aestivum (bread wheat). RNAcentral describes it as "partial small subunit ribosomal RNA". Lineage: Eukaryota; Viridiplantae; Streptophyta; Magnoliopsida; Poales; Poaceae. The record is from RNAcentral.